UUUUAUUGUCACUUAUAAAAGGUGCGCAGAACGCUAAAGUAGUAAACCUAUUUUUAAGAAAUGAGACUCGUAGACUUAGUUGAAAAGUGAUUUUGAUUUAGAAAGUUUACCCGAGGAGUUUCCUGAUUUUAAAUCUAUCAACGCGUUCGAAAAUAGUUUCAAAAAUAGUUUUUCCUUAAAGUGAUAAAAAUUCCUAGUUACUAAGCCAGGAUGCUUUUGCACU
RNAcentral lists this long non-coding RNA (223 nucleotides) under Lathyrus oleraceus (garden pea). RNAcentral's name for it is "Pisum sativum (pea) long non-coding RNA (PSAT_LNC038265)". Lineage: Eukaryota; Viridiplantae; Streptophyta; Magnoliopsida; Fabales; Fabaceae. The record is from RNAcentral.